Molecule: ribosomal RNA, 769 nt
Filed under: uncultured bacterium
Lineage: Bacteria
Description: bacterial SSU rRNA
Rfam family: Bacterial small subunit ribosomal RNA
Source: RNAcentral
AGAGUUUGAUCAUGGCUCAGGACGAACGCUGGCGGCGUGCUUAACACAUGCAAGUCGAACGGAAAGGCCCUUCGGGGUACUCGAGUGGCGAACGGGUGAGUAACACGUGGGUGAUCUGCCCUGCACUUUGGGAUAAGCCUGGGAAACUGGGUCUAAUACCGAAUAUGACCAUGCGCCUCCUGGUGUGUGGUGGAAAGCUUUUGCGGUGUGGGAUGGGCCCGCGGCCUAUCAGCUUGUUGGUGGGGUAAUGGCCUACCAAGGCGACGACGGGUAGCCGGCCUGAGAGGGUGACCGGCCACACUGGGACUGAGAUACGGCCCAGACUCCUACGGGAGGCAGCAGUGGGGAAUAUUGCACAAUGGGCGCAAGCCUGAUGCAGCGACGCCGCGUGAGGGAUGACGGCCUUCGGGUUGUAAACCUCUUUCAGCACAGACGAAGCGCAAGUGACGGUAUGUGCAGAAGAAGGACCGGCCAACUACGUGCCAGCAGCCGCGGUAAUACGUAGGGUCCGAGCGUUGUCCGGAAUUACUGGGCGUAAAGAGCUCGUAGGUGGUUUGUCGCGUUGUUCGUGAAAACUCACAGCUUAACUGUGGGCGUGCGGGCGAUACGGGCAGACUUGAGUACUGCAGGGGAGACUGGAAUUCCUGGUGUAGCGGUGGAAUGCGCAGAUAUCAGGAGGAACACCGGUGGCGAAGGCGGGUCUCUGGGCAGUAACUGACGCUGAGGAGCGAAAGCGUGGGGAGCGAACAGGAUUAGAUACCCCGGUAGU